RNAcentral lists this ribosomal RNA (597 nucleotides) under uncultured fungus. RNAcentral's name for it is "eukaryotic LSU rRNA". The stretch from base 231 to 384 matches the Rfam family "5.8S ribosomal RNA". The record is from RNAcentral. Lineage: Eukaryota; Fungi.
CUUGGUCAUUUAGAGGAAGUAAAAGUCGUAACAAGGUCUCCGUUGGUGAACCAGCGGAGGGAUCAUUAAAGAGUUGCAAAACUCCCAAACCAUUGUGAACAUACCUUCAACGUUGCUUCGGCGGGUUGGCCCCGGUCUCCGGGGUCCCCGGCCCUACUCGGGCGCCCGCCGGAGGUAUCUAACUCUUGAACUUUUAUGGCCUCUCUGAGUCUUUGUACUUAAUAAGUCAAAACUUUCAGCAACGGAUCUCUUGGUUCUGGCAUCGAUGAAGAACGCAGCGAAAUGCGAUAAGUAAUGUGAAUUGCAGAAUUCAGUGAAUCAUCGAAUCUUUGAACGCACAUUGCGCCCGCCAGCAUUCUGGCGGGCAUGCCUGUUCGAGCGUCAUUUCAACCAUCAAGCCCCGGGCUUGCGUUGGGGCCCUGCGGAGACGCAGGCCCCUAAAAGCAGUGGCGGGCUCGCUGUCAUCCCGAGCGUAGUAUUGUAUCUUCGCUUUGGGCGUGGCAGCGGGUUCCAGCCGUGAAACCACCUAUUUUUCAAGGUUGACCUCGGAUCAGGUAGGAAUACCCGCUGAACUUAAGCAUAUCAAUAAGCGGAGGA